CCCGCGCUCCUCCGGGCAGAGCGCGUGUGGCGGCCGAGCACAUGGGCCCGCGGGCCGGGCGGGCUCGGGGCGGCCGGGACGAGGAGGGGCGACGACGAGCUGCGAGCAAAGAUGUGCCCCGGGACCCCCGGCACCUUCCAGUGGAUUUCCUUGCGGAAAGGAUGUUGGCGGUCCCUGUGACCUGUGGAGACACGGCCAGAUCUGCCCUCCACUGACCAUACUCCCUGGAGCCUUCUCCCGAGGUGCGCGGGUGACCUUGGCACAUACAGCCAUCAUGAUGGUACUUUAAGUGGAGGCUGAAUCAUCUCCCCUUUGAGCUGCUUGGCACGUGGCUCCCUUGGUGUUCCCCUUUUACUGCCAGGACACUGAGAUUUGGAGAGAAUCCUGUUACACCUGGGAUUUAGGCACUUUCAAUCUGAAAAAAUACAUAUCCUUUCAGCACUCUGGACGGACUUGAGAACUGUCCUUACGUGACCUAAAGCUGGAGUAUUUUGAGAUUGGAGAAUUAAGAGUGUGGGCACCCUGGCUUCAAGCUCACGAGAAACCAGAAGGAAGUCACUGUGCAUAGCCAUCCCCUAAGAAGAGGGCAUUCCUGCUCUUCCUUCUCCAUGGCUAGAGGAUCUACAUGAACUAUUUAGAUUUUUUCUACCUGGGAGAUUUAACUCCUCUCUCCUAUUUAUUUAUUUAUAUAUCAGCAUGGACUUGCAGGCCAACAGAGAUUUUGAGAAACACAUUGAAGGAUCUGUUAACACUUGAUAUACCCAAUAAAAGCAGUGGUUGUGCCAGUGCUGAUCUGUCUUGAUGUGAAUGUGAACAAUGGGAACCUGAGCUGAGCAGUUAAUGCUAGGGUGACAGAAACUGGACCUCUCCCAAGACAUGUGACAGAGUAAUACAGCAGCCAACUUCUUCGCCAAAUUAAAGUUUUACAAGAUUUAACCUGUCAUCAAGACCUGGGAUUUUGGUGAGCCAGUCUUGGUGCUCUGUGUUCACCUGGUUCAUCUGAGGAGCUGCAUCUACCCUGCCCAUGCCAUAGAUCCUGCCCUGUUUGCUUCUCCUGUUGCUGCUAGUGGACAUGAGGUAACCACAGCCUAGUUCUGUGAUAAGCUCUUCACACCUGUACCCAUAUGGACUGUGGGAGAGUUUCUCUGAUAUGGACUGUGAUGCGGAUCUUGGACAUGAUACCUGGAUGUGCAGCAGCCAUCUGGUAAUUAUGAGGUGACAAGUCAAUAGACUGAGAUGGUGGAGCAGCAAAGAUAGAAAAGCAAAACUUUGUGGUUUCUGCUCUGAAUGUCAGGGUAACCCUGUCUGAGGAUGAUCACGGAUUUCAUUUUCCCUUGUUUGUUAGCGUUGCGGUCAGCCGCAAGUUGAAAACAAGGAACCAGCUUGAGAAGGACAGAAUAACGGGCUCCCAGAUUCACAAGCCCCACCAAGAGGAUCACCCCAGGAACGCUUGGAGGCUGAGGAGUUCACUGAGGCUACUGCAUCUUGAGACUCAGGAUGAAGACCCAGCUUGGGGCUGUCAAAGGUUUUUUGCAUGUCUGACACCCAUGACUCCACCUGGACCUUAUGGCUCCACCCAGAAGCAAUUCAGCCCAACAGGAGGACAGCUUCAACCCAUUACGAUUUCAUCUCUGCCCCAACCACUCAGCAGCAAGCACCUGUUACCUGUCCACCCCCACCCCUUCCCCCAAACUGCCUUUGAAAAAUCCCUAACCUAUGAGCUUUGAAUAAGAUGAGUACGAACUUCAUCGCCCACGUGGCGUGGCCGGCCUCGUGUCUAUUAAAUUCUUUUUCUACUACAA
RNAcentral lists this long non-coding RNA (1802 nucleotides) under Homo sapiens (human). RNAcentral's name for it is "Pvt1 oncogene, transcript variant 21 (PVT1)". The stretch from base 34 to 211 matches the Rfam family "Pvt1 oncogene conserved region 1". The record is from RNAcentral. Lineage: Eukaryota; Metazoa; Chordata; Mammalia; Primates; Hominidae.